GCGCGAAAACUUUACAAUGCGGGCAACCGCGAUAAGGGGACCUCGAGUGCUGGGUUACAAACCUGGCUGUUGGGCUGCCUAAAAAGCAGUCUAUAGCAAGGGCCGGGCAAGACCGGUGCCAGCCGCCGCGGUAACACCGGCGGCUCGAGUGGUAACCGCUAUUAUUGGGUCUAAAGGGUCUGUAGCCGGCCGACUAAGUCUCUUGGGAAAUCUGGCAUCUCAAGUGUCAGGCUGCCAGGGGAUACUGGUCGGCUUGGGACCGGGAGAGGUGAGAGGUACCUCGGGGGUAGGGGUGAAAUCUUGUAAUCCUCGAGGGACCACCAGUGGCGAAGGCGUCUCACCAGAACGGAUCCGACGGCAAGGGACGAAAGCUAGGGGCACGAACCGGAUUAGAUACCCGGGUAGUCCUAGCCGUAAACGAUACUCGCUAGGUGUCGGCCACGGUGCGACCGUGGUCGGUGCCGUAGGGAAGCCGUGAAGCGAGCCACCUGGGAAGUACGGCCGCAAGGCUGAAACCUAAAGGAAUUGGCGGGGGAGCACCACAACGGGUGGAGCCUGCGGUUUAAUUGGAUUCAACGCCGGAAAGCUUACCGGGGGCGACAGCAACAUGAAGGUCAGGCUGAAGACCUUACCGGAUUCGCU
RNAcentral lists this ribosomal RNA (642 nucleotides) under uncultured Methanosaeta sp. RNAcentral's name for it is "bacterial SSU rRNA". It matches the Rfam family "Archaeal small subunit ribosomal RNA", at positions 339 to 981 of the family's 1478-position model. The record is from RNAcentral. Lineage: Archaea; Methanobacteriati; Methanobacteriota; Methanomicrobia; Methanotrichales; Methanotrichaceae.